UAGGGAAUCUUGCGCAAUGGGGGAAACCCUGACGCAGCGACGCCGCGUGCGGGAUGAAGGCCCUCGGGUUGUAAACCGCUUUCAGCAGGGACGAAAUUGACGGUACCUGCAGAAGAAGGCCCGGCCAACUACGUGCCAGCAGCCGCGGUAAUACGUAGGGGCCAAGCGUUGUCCGGAUUUAUUGGGCGUAAAGAGCUCGUAGGUGGUUCGGCAAGUCAGUUGUGAAAUCUCCGCGCUCAACGCGGAGGGGUCAGCUGAAACUGCUGUGACUUGAGUCUGGUAGGGGAGUGUGGAAUUCCCGGUGUAGCGGUGAAAUGCGCAGAUAUCGGGAGGAACACCAGUGGCGAAGGCGGCACUCUGGGCCAGUACUGACACUGAGGAGCGAAAGCGUGGGAGCGAACAGGAUUAGAUACCCUGGUAGUCCACGCCGUAAACGUUGGGCACUAGGUGUGGGGACCUAUCGACGGUUUCCGUGCCGUAGCUAACGCA
RNAcentral lists this ribosomal RNA (489 nucleotides) under uncultured Actinomycetes bacterium. RNAcentral's name for it is "bacterial SSU rRNA". It matches the Rfam family "Bacterial small subunit ribosomal RNA", at positions 355 to 859 of the family's 1533-position model. The record is from RNAcentral. Lineage: Bacteria; Bacillati; Actinomycetota; Actinomycetes.